GAUGAACGCUGGCGGCGUGCUUAACACAUGCAAGUCGAACGGAAAGGCCCAAGCUUGCUUGGGUACUCGAGUGGCGAACGGGUGAGUAACACGUGGGUGAUCUGCCCUGCACUUCGGGAUAAGCCUGGGAAACUGGGUCUAAUACUGGAUAGGACCACUUCUUGGAUGGUGUGGUGGAAAGUUUUUUCGGUGUGGGAUGAGCUCGCGGCCUAUCAGCUUGUUGGUGGGGUAAUGGCCUACCAAGGCGUCGACGGGUAGCCGGCCUGAGAGGGUGUACGGCCACAUUGGGCCCGAGAUCCGGCCCACACUCCUACGUGAGGCAGCAGGGAGGAAUAUUGAACAAUGGGCGAAAGCCUGAUGCAGCGACGCCGAGUGGGGGAUGAGGGCCUUAGGGUUGUAAACUCCUUUCGCUAGGGACGAAGCGUUUUUGUGACGGUACCUGGAGAAGAAGCACCGGCUAACUACGUG
RNAcentral lists this ribosomal RNA (468 nucleotides) under uncultured bacterium. RNAcentral's name for it is "partial 16S ribosomal RNA". It matches the Rfam family "Bacterial small subunit ribosomal RNA", at positions 28 to 507 of the family's 1533-position model. The record is from RNAcentral.